AAACAGACAAACCCUGAUUUCCGUGCCUAACGUUUGACUAUCCGUCUUAUUUGAAAAAAUUAUAAAAAAAUAAAAAGACAAGUCACGCAUAAAAUAUUAAUCAUGUUUUAUCAUCUAACAACAAUAAAAGUACGAAUUAUAAAAAAAUUUAUAUAAGACGGACAGUCAAAGUUAGACAUGAAAAUCCAAGGUUUGAUUUUUU
Molecule: non-coding RNA, 202 nt
Organism: Oryza barthii
Lineage: Eukaryota; Viridiplantae; Streptophyta; Magnoliopsida; Poales; Poaceae
Source: Rfam